GCCACAUUGAAACACUGGUUCUCGGACGAUCAUCGAAGUUAAGCAAUGUCGAGCCUGAUUAGUACUUAUAUAGGUGAUCGCUUGGGAAUACCAGGUACUGUAAG
This is a non-coding RNA of Acanthosepion pharaonis, 104 nucleotides long. The record is from the annotation of a GenBank genome assembly. Lineage: Eukaryota; Metazoa; Mollusca; Cephalopoda; Sepiida; Sepiidae.